UUCCGGUUGAUCCCGCCGGACCUGACAGCUAUCGGAUUGAUACUAAGCCAUGCGAGUCAUUGUAGUAAUACAAGGCAGACGGCUCAGUAACGCGUAGUCAACCUACCCUGUGGACGGGGAUAACCUCGGGAAACUGAGAAUAAUACCCGAUAGAACAUUAUGCCUGGAAUGGUUUAUGUUUCAAAUAAUUUAUUGCCGUAGGAUGGGACUGCGUCCUAUCAGUUUGUUGGUGAGGUAAUGGCCCACCAAGACUAUUACAGGUACGGGCUCUGAGAGGAGUAGCCCGGAGAUGGGUACUGAGACACGGACCCAGGCCCUAUGGGGCGCAGCAGGCGAGAAAACUUUGCAAUGUGCGAAAGCACGACAAGGUUAAUCCGAGUGGUUUCUGCUAAAGGAACCUUUUGUCAGUCCUAGAAACACUGAUGAAUAAGGGGUGGGCAAGUUCUGGUGUCAGCCGCCGCGGUAAAACCAGCACCUCAAGUGGUCAGGAUGAUUAUUGGGCCUAAAGCAUCCGUAGCCUGCUUUGUAAGUUUUCGGUUAAAUCCAUACGCUCAACGUAUGGGCUGCCGGGAAUACUGCAAAGCUAGGGAGUGGGAGAGGUAGACGGUACUCGGUAGGAAGGGGUAAAAUCCUUUGAUCUAUUGAUGACCACCUGUGGCGAAGGCGGUCUACCAGAACACGUCCGACGGUGAGGGAUGAAAGCUGGGGGAGCAAACCGGAUUAGAUACCCGGGUAGUCCCAGCUGUAAACUAUGCAAACUCAGUGACGCAUUGGCUUGAUGCCAAUGCAGUGCUGCAGGGAAGCCGUUAAGUUUGCCGCCUGGGAAGUACGUACGCAAGUAUGAAACUUAAAGGAAUUGGCGGGGGAGCACCACAAGGGGUGAAGCCUGCGGUUCAAUUGGAGUCGACGCCGGG
RNAcentral lists this ribosomal RNA (914 nucleotides) under uncultured archaeon. Its description in RNAcentral is "bacterial SSU rRNA". It matches the Rfam family "Archaeal small subunit ribosomal RNA", at positions 1 to 922 of the family's 1478-position model. The record is from RNAcentral.